UAGGGAAUCUUCGGCAAUGGGGGGAACCCUGACCGAGCAACGCCGCGUGAGUGAAGAAGGUUUUCGGAUCGUAAAGCUCUGUUGUUAAGGAAGAACGAGUGUGAGAAUGGAAAGUUCAUGCUGUGACGGUACUUAACCAGAAAGGGACGGCUAACUACGUGCCAGCAGCCGCGGUAAUACGUAGGUCCCGAGCGUUGUCCGGAUUUAUUGGGCGUAAAGCGAGCGCAGGCGGUUAGAAAAGUCUGAAGUGAAAGGCAGUGGCUCAACCAUUGUAGGCUUUGGAAACUGUUUAACUUGAGUGCAGAAGGGGAGAGUGGAAUUCCAUGUGUAGCGGUGAAAUGCGUAGAUAUAUGGAGGAACACCGGUGGCGAAAACGGCUCUCUGGUCUGUAACUGACGCUGAGGCUCGAAAGCGUGGGGAGCGAACAGG
RNAcentral lists this ribosomal RNA (429 nucleotides) under Bacteroidota bacterium. Its description in RNAcentral is "Bacteroidetes bacterium partial 16S ribosomal RNA". It matches the Rfam family "Bacterial small subunit ribosomal RNA", at positions 355 to 776 of the family's 1533-position model. The record is from RNAcentral. Lineage: Bacteria; Pseudomonadati; Bacteroidota.